GGUACCCUGUGGACCAGAUCAUCCCAGCACCCCUCUGCACUGAACACGCCUAACUGGCUCCCCUCAACAAGAUCAGAUUUAGCUCUGUCUUGCUAGCGUCUGGGUCUUUCCUUCCUAUUCUCAGUAGGAAGAGGGUGGCUUCCAGGCACUGGGUAACAGAGAAAUGGGUACCCGCUGUCUAUUGUAUGUGAGUUUCCAGACCAGAGGGCAUAGACCUCAGUGAUGAGCACUUAAGGCAAAGAGAAAGAGCAGUGAGAGCGAACAGCAAGGGAGUGCGUGUGACGGAAGCCAGCUCUCUGUGCUGUCGAGGUUGAGUGGCCCCUAAGGCCUUGACUCCUAGGAGGAGCACACCACUGGCCGCUCUCUCGGGGGUUUCCUUCCGCAACAGAAGCACUGACAGAGUGUAGACAAGCACCCAGAGCUGCGGAGUUUCAGGUGCUGCCUCUGUCUCUGAGCAUUGGGGACCCACUUCUCAUUCUGCUUCGUUUCUCUUCUGCCUUGUAUAGGUAUGUUUGGAAAACCAAAAGGCCACUCUACCGUUCACACAUUGAUAAGUCAGUCGCAUAUAAGAGAAGAGAAAUGGUGGAGAAUCUUCAGAAACAGUUUAGUGCCCUGAUUGGUUCAGCACCCGAGGUGGAAAGGCAGGCCCCUUCAAGUUUUCAGCU
RNAcentral lists this long non-coding RNA (665 nucleotides) under Rattus norvegicus (Norway rat). RNAcentral describes it as "long non-coding RNA NONRATT024215". Lineage: Eukaryota; Metazoa; Chordata; Mammalia; Rodentia; Muridae. The record is from RNAcentral.